This 501-nucleotide ribosomal RNA is filed under the name uncultured bacterium. RNAcentral describes it as "partial 16S ribosomal RNA". It matches the Rfam family "Bacterial small subunit ribosomal RNA", at positions 29 to 523 of the family's 1533-position model. The record is from RNAcentral.
AUUGAACGCUGGCGGCAUGCCUUACACAUGCAAGUCGAACGGCAGCACGGGUGCUUGCACCUGGUGGCGAGUGGCGAACGGGUGAGUAAUACAUCGGAACGUACCCUAUCGUGGGGGAUAACGCAGCGAAAGCUGUGCUAAUACCGCAUACGCCCUGAGGGGGAAAGCGGGGGAGCGAAAGACCUCGCGCGAUUAGAGCGGCCGAUGCCUGAGUAGCCUGUUGGUGGGGUAAAAGCCCACCAGGGCGACGAUCAGUAGCUGGUCUGAGAGGACGAUCAGCCACACUGGGACUGAGACACGGCCCAGACUCCUACGGGAGGCAGCAGUGGGGAAUUUUGGACAAUGGGGGCAACCCUGAUCCAGCAAUGCCGCGUGAGUGAAGAAGGCCUUCGGGUUGUAAAGCUCUUUUGUCAGGGAAGAAACACCGGCUCUAACACAGUCCGGGAAUGACGGUACCUGAAGAAUAAGCACCGGCUAACUACGUGCCAGCCGCCGCCGUAA